ACUGGGGCGGUCUCCUCCUAAAGAGUAACGGAGGAGCACGAAGGUUGGCUAAUCCUGGUCGGACAUCAGGAGGUUAGUGCAAUGGCAUAAGCCAGCUUGACUGCGAGCGUGACGGCGCGAGCAGGUGCGAAAGCAGGUCAUAGUGAUCCGGUGGUUCUGAAUGGAAGGGCCAUCGCUCAACGGAUAAAAGGUACUCCGGGGAUAACAGGCUGAUACCGCCCAAGAGUUCAUAUCGACGGCGGUGUUUGGCACCUCGAUGUCGGCUCAUCACAUCCUGGGGCUGAAGUAGGUCCCAAGGGUAUGGCUGUUCGCCAUUUAAAGUGGUACGCGAGCUGGGUUUAGAACGUCGUGAGACAGUUCGGUCCCUAUCUGCCGUGGGCGCUGGAGAACUGAGGGGGGCUGCUCCUAGUACGAGAGGACCGGAGUGGACGCAUCACUGGUGUUCGGGUUGUCAUGCCAAUGGCACUGCCCGGUAGCUAAAUGCGGAAGAGAUAAGUGCUGAAAGCAUCUAAGCACGAAACUUGCCCCGAGAUGAGUUCUCCCUGACUCCUUGAGAGUCCUGAAGGAACGUUGAAGACGACGACGUUGAUAGGCCGGGUGUGUAAGCGCAGCGAUGCGUUGAGCUAACCGGUACUAAUGAACCGUGAGGCUUAACCUUACAACGCCGAAGGUGUUU
Molecule: ribosomal RNA, 676 nt
Filed under: Escherichia coli
Lineage: Bacteria; Pseudomonadati; Pseudomonadota; Gammaproteobacteria; Enterobacterales; Enterobacteriaceae
Description: partial 23S ribosomal RNA
Rfam family: Bacterial large subunit ribosomal RNA
Source: RNAcentral